This 374-nucleotide ribosomal RNA is filed under the name uncultured bacterium. Its description in RNAcentral is "bacterial SSU rRNA". It matches the Rfam family "Bacterial small subunit ribosomal RNA", at positions 523 to 898 of the family's 1533-position model. The record is from RNAcentral.
AAACGUAGGACGCAAGCGUUAUCCGGAUUUACUGGGCGUAAAGCGCGUGCAGGCGGUCUGUUAAGUCGGACGUGAAAGCUCCCUGGCUCAACCGGGAGAGGUCGUUCGAAACUGGCAGACUGGAGGGCCGCAGAGGAGUGUGGAAUUCCGGGUGUAGUGGUGAAAUGCGUAGAUAUCCGGAGGAACACCAGUGGCGAAGGCGACACUCUGGGCUGUACCUGACGCUAAGACGCGAAAGCGUGGGUAGCGAACGGGAUUAGAAACCCCGGUAGUCCACGCCGUAAACGAUGUGCACUAGGCGUAUGGUCUUCGGACUGUGUGCCGCAGCAAACGCGAUAAGUGCACCGCCUGGGGACUACGGCCGCAAGGCUAAA